This 260-nucleotide ribosomal RNA is filed under the name uncultured bacterium. Its description in RNAcentral is "partial 16S ribosomal RNA". It matches the Rfam family "Bacterial small subunit ribosomal RNA", at positions 98 to 354 of the family's 1533-position model. The record is from RNAcentral.
CGGCACGGGUGAGUAACGCGUAUGCGACCUGCCCGUUGCAGGGGGAUAAUCGGGAGAAAUCCCGUCUAAUACCGCGUAACGCCGCGGGGCUGCAUGGCCCUGCGGCCAAAGGGAGCGAUUCCGGCAACGGAUGGGCAUGCGUGACAUUAGCUAGUUGGCGGGGCAACGGCCCACCAAGGCGACGAUGUCUAGGGGUUCUGAGAGGAAGGUCCCCCACACUGGUACUGAGACACGGACCAGACUCCUACGGAAGGCAGCAG